CACGUAGGGCGCAAGCGUUGUCCGGAAUUAUUGGGCGUAAAGAGCUCGUAGGCGGACUGUCACGUCCGCUGUGAAAAGCUAGGGCUUAACCCUGGCCUUGCAGUGGAUACGGGCAGACUAGAGGUAGGUAGGGGAGAAUGGAAUUCCCGGUGUAGCGGUGAAAUGCGCAGAUAUCAGGAGGAACACCGGUGGCGAAGGCGGGACUCUGGGCCGAUACUGACGCUGAGGAGCGAAAGCGUGGGGAGCAAACAGG
Molecule: ribosomal RNA, 253 nt
Filed under: uncultured bacterium
Lineage: Bacteria
Description: partial 16S ribosomal RNA
Rfam family: Bacterial small subunit ribosomal RNA
Source: RNAcentral